Long non-coding RNA from Dermacentor albipictus, 1420 nucleotides. RefSeq lists it as uncharacterized. The record is from RefSeq and is a predicted model, not a curated record. Lineage: Eukaryota; Metazoa; Arthropoda; Arachnida; Ixodida; Ixodidae.
GGCUAAGGCCAUCGAAGACUUAAGGCGGGAGCUCAGGGCAGACUUGAGGACCAUAAAAGAUAAGUUUCAAGAGGUCACUGAGCUGAAAACAGAAAUACAGCAGGUUCUAAAACUAAACCAGGAUCUUCGCGCUGAGAAUGCCAAGCUAUCACACAGAAUUGAGGAACUGGAACAAUAUCAACGUUCAAAUAACAUUGAGAUAAAGGGCAUUCCACUUGAAGGCGAACCACUAGUCGUCGUGAAGCAAAUUGGUGAGCUGAUUAAGGAAGAGGUCUCGGAGGCUGAUAUCGACAUCUGCCACCGAGUGCCUACUGCUCGACAUGAUGAAGCAAAUAUAAUUGUUCGGUUUGUCCGCAGAACCAAGAGGAACGCCUUCCUUAGUAAAGCUAAAAAAAGCAGAAUGGAUACAACCACGCUGGGCUUUCAAUCGUCCUCAAAGGUGUUCGUAAACGAACACCUCACACGGUAUGGCAAACGACUUCUUGGUGCCGCAGUAGAAAGAAAAAAGGAACUGAGAUGGCGGUUCGUAUGGACGGCUGGCGGCAAAGUGUUCGUACGCAAGGACGAAAAUUCACCUGCUAUUCGAAUCGCCAGUAUGGAAGACAUUGAUAAGAUGACAACAACUUCAUCCGACCAAACACCAGAGAAAAGAGUGAUGCUGAUACAGACACACAAGUUUUUUUUGGCAGUGGAAUAUGUUAACUGGACAAACUGCUGCAAGCGUUGCAUAGCAACAUGCAUUGAAGCUGCUUUGUCAUGCGACUCUCACGCUACCUGCGUUGGAACCAGAUGGCUCACAUGAAAAGAUUCAGGUGUCUCAGCAGCAGCACACCCACCCGUUGUUGGUCACCUCCAUUUGAAAUUCAAAAGGAAGUUUCACACGAGUGUUCAUUUCGAAUCACCGAUAGCAAUACCUCACCUUGGCAUAGCCAACUACCUGUAAAAUACUUCACAUAACAUCAAUUUUCACAUUGCGUGGGAUUUACGCAAGUUUAUCUCAUAGUUUUCAUGUAGAGCCUUUUGGACCUUUAUGUGGGGGAUAAUAAAAUGGCUUUUCAAGUCUAGCUCCUCUGAAAUAUAUAUAAUUCGACACCUUGCAUGCUAAGCUGCAGCUUCUUAAGUCCCAAACUGGCAUCAAGAAAGCCAGGACUGUAAAAUGAUACUGGGCUGGACAAAUCAGUUUCCAAAGAUUUAUGUUACGUUCUUGACCUCCUUUCCAGAGUUCCUGUGAUAAGUUUGUGUGAAAAGACAUUCUCAAAGCUAACAUAUGUAGAGACCAGGCUGAGAAGCUUUAUGUCAAGAAUGGCUUAGCUGGCUGAUGGUGCCUUUGGUGGAGCAAUGAAUUGCAAUUUUUUUAUGAUGUUAUGAAGAUAAAUAACACCAUAGCAUGCAGACUUAUGCUGCAGAAAGAAAGCAAGAA